CUGGAGGAGACMAGUGCUGAUCCCGGCUGUAAAGAUUGCAUUUCUCUGUUUGCAUUUGCAUUUUCAGCUGCAGGACAAAUGCAAGGGUCCUGGGAYAGGCAAAGCAGGACUUCCAGAUCAACUCCAGGUUGCACCUGCUCUCAAGGGUAUUACCCAUGGAUAAACACAGAGAAGGCACAAAGCCAGCACCACAAGUGCCUUUUCCAUAGGACAUUCCAGCAGAGCUCUAUUGCAUCCCUGGUUCUGCUCUUUCCACACUGUAACACCCAGCCCUAGGCAAGAUUAAAGCUGUGAACCAAAAGCUGGCCAGCACAGAGCCCAAAACACACCAGGGCAUCCACGAUGCAAUCUCAGAAGAGCCUGUGCCAGCUUGCAAAUUGUCUGUGGAGUGGGACCUGGCAGAAGGAAGCACAACCUGCCUUCCUGGACACAACGCAUGUUUGGGAUUUCACUCUGCACUUGCCUUCACUGCCUGCARUGCUUUGU
Molecule: long non-coding RNA, 486 nt
Organism: Malurus melanocephalus (red-backed fairy wren)
Lineage: Eukaryota; Metazoa; Chordata; Aves; Passeriformes; Maluridae
Exons: 3
Source: RefSeq, a predicted model, not a curated record